Molecule: ribosomal RNA, 440 nt
Filed under: uncultured bacterium
Lineage: Bacteria
Description: bacterial SSU rRNA
Rfam family: Bacterial small subunit ribosomal RNA
Source: RNAcentral
CCUACGGGUGGCAGCAGUGGGGAAUAUUGCACAAUGGACGAAAGUCUGAUGCAGCAACGCCGCGUGGAGGAUGACACAUUUCGGUGCGUAAACUCCUUUUAUAUGAGAAGAUAAUGACGGUAUUAUAUGAAUAAGCACCGGCUAACUCCGUGCCAGCAGCCGCGGUAAUACGGGGGGUGCAAGCGUUACUCGGAAUCACUGGGCGUAAAGAGCAUGUAGGCGGAUUAAUAAGUUUGAAGUGAAAUCCUAUAGCUUAACUAUAGAACUGCUUUGAAAACUGUUAAUCUAGAAUGUGGGAGAGGUAGAUGGAAUUUCUGGUGUAGGGGUAAAAUCCGUAGAGAUCAGAAGGAAUACCGAUUGCGAAGGCGAUCUACUGGAACAUUAUUGACGCUGAGAUGCGAAAGCGUGGGGAGCAAACAGGAUUAGAUACCCUAGUAGUC